UCCUAUUAACGAUGGAGAACACUUGUUUCAUUAUAAAGUGGUCCAAGGAGACUUUGUGUGGAUUUUCUACUGGAUCUUAAAUGAGAACGAGGAAACGCAUUGCUCUUCAAUGACGAUGCAGGCAAGCGAUUCCUCAAAUUUGAAAAACAAGGAUGUUGGCACAUUUUGGAUUUCCCUCUGAGGAAGUGCAGAUUAUUGGCUCUUGGUCCUCCGGUGCUCAUAACCAGGCAACUGCCUGCAUAAAGAGAGAGAUUGUGUCAGUCCAACUGGUUGGGGUUGUUGUCCUGCUGGAAGGUGAAUCCAUCUCCCAGUGUCUGGUGGAAAGCAGACUGAACCAGGUUUUCCGCUAGGAUUUUGCCUGUGCUUCACUCCAUUCUGUAUCUUUGUAGUAACUGGGUGUAUUGAAACACCAUCCAAAGUGUAAUUCAUAACUUCACCUUCCUCAGAGGGAUAAUAGAUGUCAUUUUUUUCUCUCCCGCAUCUACAAAUAAGUGCCCUUUGCGAGGCAUUGGAAGACCUCCCUGGUCUUUGUGGUUGAAUCUGUGUUUGAAAUUCAUUGCUUGACUGAGGGACCUUACAGAUAAUUGUAUGUGUGGGGUACAGAGAUGAGGUAGUCAUUCAUGCAACUUAUGCAACUUAUUAUGUGACUUGUUAAGCACAGUUUUACUCCUGAAUUAUUUAGGCUUGCCAUGAGAAAGGGGUUGAAUACUUAUUGACUCAAGACAUUUCAGCUUUUCAUUUUUUAUUAAUUUGUAAAAAUGUCUAAAAACAUAAUUCCACUUUUACAUUAUAGGCCAGUGACAACAAAUCUCAAUUGAAUCAAUUUUAAAUUCAGCCUGAAACACAACAAAAUGUGGAAAAAGUCUAGGGGUGUUUAUACUUUCUGAAGAAAGUGUAUAUGUCUACCCUGAAAGGCUGUGCUGAAGCACAAGUACAUUGUUUUAACCAUUGAAUAAGUUGUAUUGCAAUAAACUGAGCAAGAAUGAGACAACGUAUAUACUAAUAAAUAUCAGUCUUAAAACGUUACGGGUUUAUUUUAUUAUUUUCAUUUUAUGUAGGCAUGUACAGUGUGUUGGGAGAGAAUAUUCAAUAAUUCUUAACUGUUCAAUAAUUGAACACCAGCCCAUCCCUUAUUAAAGCAUGUAUAUUGAUCUUGAGAUGAUAAAAGAGCAUAAAAGACCAUUUUAGAAUCAAC
This 1195-nucleotide long non-coding RNA is filed under the name Salmo salar (Atlantic salmon). Its description in RNAcentral is "lncRNA (ENSSSAG00000104964.1)". The record is from RNAcentral. Lineage: Eukaryota; Metazoa; Chordata; Actinopteri; Salmoniformes; Salmonidae.